RNAcentral lists this ribosomal RNA (502 nucleotides) under Cladophora glomerata. Its description in RNAcentral is "SSU rRNA". It matches the Rfam family "Eukaryotic small subunit ribosomal RNA", at positions 48 to 557 of the family's 1831-position model. The record is from RNAcentral. Lineage: Eukaryota; Viridiplantae; Chlorophyta; Ulvophyceae; Cladophorales; Cladophoraceae.
GCCAUGCAUGUGUAGGUAUAACCUGUAUACCGGUAAACUGCGAAUGGCUCGGUAAAUCAGUUAUAGUUUAUUUGAUAGUGCAUCCUACUCGGAUAACCGUAGUAACACUAGAGCUAAUACGUGCGUAAAUCCCGACUUUUGGAAGGGACGUAUUUAUUAGAUUUAUGGCCAGCCGGGCUUGCCCGACCAGCGGUGAAUCAUGGUAACUUGACGGAUUGCAUGGCCUCCGUGCCGGCGACGUGUCAUUCAAGUUUCUGCCCCAUCAGGUUUCGACUGUAGUGUAUUGGACUACAGUGCCUAUAACGGGUAGCGGAGGAUUAGGGUUCGAUUCCGGAGAGGGAGCCUGAGAAACGGCUACCACAUCCAAGGAAGGCAGCAGGCGCGCAAAUUACCCAAUCCCAACUCAGGGAGGUAGUGACAAGAAAUAGCAAUGCGGGGCUUCUUGCUCUGCAAUUGGAAUGAGAACAAUUUAAAUCACUUAACGAGUAUCAAUUGGAGGAAA